Molecule: ribosomal RNA, 253 nt
Filed under: uncultured bacterium
Lineage: Bacteria
Description: partial 16S ribosomal RNA
Rfam family: Bacterial small subunit ribosomal RNA
Source: RNAcentral
UACGUAGGGUGCAAGCGUUAAUCGGAAUUACUGGGCGUAAAGCGUGCGCAGGCGGUGAUGUAAGUCAGUUGUGAAAUCCCCGGGCUCAACCUGGGAACUGCAUUUGUGACUGCAUCGCUGGAGUGCGGCAGAGGGGGAUGGAAUUCCGCGUGUAGCAGUGAAAUGCGUAGAUAUGCGGAGGAACACCGAUGGCGAAGGCAAUCCCCUGGGCCUGCACUGACGCUCAUGCACGAAAGCGUGGGGAGCAAACAGG